Molecule: small nuclear RNA, 170 nt
Filed under: Chelonoidis abingdonii (Abingdon island giant tortoise)
Lineage: Eukaryota; Metazoa; Chordata; Testudines; Testudinidae
Description: U4 spliceosomal RNA (ENSCABG00000014535.1)
Rfam family: U4 spliceosomal RNA
About the family: U4 small nuclear RNA (U4 snRNA) is a component of the major U2-dependent spliceosome. The structure of U4 snRNA from yeast and human has been reported. U4 snRNA presents a k-turn RNA motif in the 5p-SL related to recognition of Snu13 protein.
Source: Rfam by way of RNAcentral
ACUUUUGCGCAGUGGCAGUAUCGUAGCCAAUGAGGUUAAUCCGAGGCGCGAUUAUUGCUAAUUGAUCCUUUUAAAUAAUUUGUGAGCCCUCUAGUGGUACUCACUGUUCUAGAUUUUAGAAGUUGCCAGAACCCAACCAGAGUGGCAAUGUGUGUAUGUAGCUAGGUCUG